UAUUAAACAUAUUUUUAAUUUAUGCAUUGCCUACGUCACUCGGACAUCCGGAGAGCACAGGGAAAUGAGCUAAGCACCAUCUGAGUACUCGUAAGUGCGCGUGAGUACUCGUAUGUAUUCGGAUCAUUAAGCUUAGCUGCAGCUCAACUUCAAGUCUACAAAGUCUUAAUAAGUUUCCAUAAUAUCUAAAAGGUCGGCUAACGAAUCAUCGCCCAGUCAUUAAUAAGACUGAUUCGAACCGCUUUGUUGCAGUUACAACUCGCUCAGCGCCGGCUCGUCUGGUCGGAUCGUAAUAGGCAGUUGCUCGGCUGUUCGCCUGGUUGGCUGUUCGCCUGGUUGGCUGUUCGCCUGGUUGGCUGUUUGCUGACGUUGUUGUUGGACUGCUGGACUGUGCGGCAAGUGUGACA
Non-coding RNA from Drosophila virilis, 407 nucleotides. The record is from RefSeq and is a predicted model, not a curated record. NCBI's taxonomy places the organism in Eukaryota, Metazoa, Arthropoda, Insecta, Diptera, Drosophilidae.